UACGAAGGGUGCAAACGUUGCUCGGAAUUAUUGGGCGUAAAGCGCACGUAGGCGGCUUUGCAAGUCCCAUGUGAAAUCCCAUGGCUCAACCAUGGAAGUGCACCCGAAACUGCGUAGCUAGAGUCCUGGAGAGGAAGGUGGAAUACUUGGUGUAGAGGUGAAAUUCGUAGAUAUCAAGUGGAACACCGGUGGCGAAGGCGGCCUUCUGGACAGUGACUGACGCUGAGACGCGAAAGCGUGGGGAGCGAACAGG
Molecule: ribosomal RNA, 253 nt
Filed under: uncultured bacterium
Lineage: Bacteria
Description: partial 16S ribosomal RNA
Rfam family: Bacterial small subunit ribosomal RNA
Source: RNAcentral